This 72-nucleotide transfer RNA is filed under the name Salmo salar (Atlantic salmon). It matches the Rfam family "tRNA". Rfam says of the family: Transfer RNA (tRNA) molecules are approximately 80 nucleotides in length. Their secondary structure includes four short double-helical elements and three loops (D, anti-codon, and T loops). Further hydrogen bonds mediate the characteristic L-shaped molecular structure. tRNAs have two regions of fundamental functional importance: the anti-codon, which is responsible for specific mRNA codon recognition, and the 3' end, to which the tRNAs corresponding amino acid is attached (by aminoacyl-tRNA synthetases). tRNAs cope with the degeneracy of the genetic code in two manners: having more than one tRNA (with a specific anti-codon) for a particular amino acid; and 'wobble' base-pairing, i.e. permitting non-standard base-pairing at the 3rd anti-codon position. Lineage: Eukaryota; Metazoa; Chordata; Actinopteri; Salmoniformes; Salmonidae. The record is from Rfam by way of RNAcentral.
UCCCAUGUAGCUUAGUUGGUAGAGCAUGACGCUGGCAACACUAAGGUUGUGGGUUCGAUUCUCACGGGGGAC